AUCAGCUAAAUAAGCUGUGAAUGAGACCACAAUGGUAGCUAAAUGUAUCAUCCAUCUUUCAGUUCUAGCAAAAUCUGUGAAGAGUCAGCAAGCAUCUUUCCCUGUUAAGCAUAUGUUCAGGUUGUGGUCUUCUGGGUCUUUCAUUCUACUGACUUUUUGCUUUUUUUGGUAAGAAAUAUGAUUUUUACUUUCAGAAGGCAGUUGUAUUUGCCUGAUGUUGAAAGAGUUAAUCAUCUAGUAAUACAAAAUUUAGUCACAAUGUACCACAAAUAAUGUACUUUUAGGAUUCCCAUAAUAACAGAGUACUAGUCAGAGAAACGGCUUCUCCUGAAUUAAAUUUAUGAAGCUAGACUUUAGCAAUUAAUGUUCUGUUAUUAAUCAAUACUUGCCUACCUCAGAAUGUAGGAUCCUGUUCUACAUUUAAUGGUAAUUACAUCUGAUACAA
This 445-nucleotide long non-coding RNA is filed under the name Bos taurus (domestic cattle). Its description in RNAcentral is "long non-coding RNA NONBTAT025717". The record is from RNAcentral. Lineage: Eukaryota; Metazoa; Chordata; Mammalia; Artiodactyla; Bovidae.